GCGCGUAUAGCUCAGUUGGUUAGAGCGUUACAUUGACAUUGUAAAGGUCUCUGGUUCGAGUCCAGAUACGCGCACCA
Molecule: transfer RNA, 77 nt
Filed under: Candidatus Uhrbacteria bacterium CG_4_10_14_0_2_um_filter_41_21
Lineage: Bacteria; Candidatus Uhriibacteriota
Also listed under: 4 other names
Description: tRNA-Val
Rfam family: tRNA
About the family: Transfer RNA (tRNA) molecules are approximately 80 nucleotides in length. Their secondary structure includes four short double-helical elements and three loops (D, anti-codon, and T loops).
Source: RNAcentral